This is a long non-coding RNA of Neofelis nebulosa (Clouded leopard), 497 nucleotides long. RefSeq lists it as uncharacterized. The transcript has 2 exons. Lineage: Eukaryota; Metazoa; Chordata; Mammalia; Carnivora; Felidae. The record is from RefSeq and is a predicted model, not a curated record.
CUGUGUUCUCUUUCAGAGUGUCCAUGACUUCACUGUUACAUUUUCAAUGAAUCGUUUGAUAUCUUACUUCUCAAAAACCAGCCCACUAUUCUCAUUCUCACUGUUACUCCAAGAGCAUCCUGAGACCUCAGUGAGCAGAGGCAAAGCUCAGAGAAUUUGACUGCCAAAGUGAAGACAGUAAUAUUCAUGUCUGCAGAGCCUGCCCCCUUUUCUUAUCAGCAUCCACAGAUGGGAAAUUCUGCUGCUGAAGGAAACGUGGGGCAAUUAAGAGGGGCUGGCAAGUUCCGCCUGGGGUUAAAAAUGUCACCAUGCGUACAGUGACCAUAAACUUUAUGAUCAAGCAUGGUCACUACUGAGACUGAAAGAAGGCACUAAUUGGAUGGGCAACUGGGGCUUACAGUGUCCCAUUUAUGCAUGGGGCUGGUGGACCCCCUGCCAUUGUUACAAAUGGAAAAUGGAUCACUACACAGCCAUUAAAGUUGAAUCUAUAAACCACA